AACUGCAAGUCCUGCUAGACCAGCUUUGUCUAAGAUUAACUUGGCUCCAACCCCAGUGAAAGCUGUGUCAACUCCUGCUAGUGUACCUUCAACGCCUGCUAAAAUUGACCCAGCACCAGCUUUUGUCGCUUCAACCCCACCUGAGUUUGCUUCAACUCCUGCCCGUCUGUUCAGUACAUCCCUUGAAGCUCGUCUGCAGAAAAGAAGUAGCGAUGAUACAAAUCUAGAUGAUAUCAAUACUGACCAACCAUUUAAGCUCGCGAGGCGUUCCUCACUAAGCUCAUCAAGGUCGUUGAACUUCGAUUCUUAUACAGAGCAUGAGAAAGAUGUUGAUGAAGACAUUGAUCGAGUACUGGUGUCCAGCGACGAUGAAAUACUCAGUAUACUUCCUGAUAAGCUUCGAGAGGAGGUAAUACAUUAAGCUCCUCAUAAUUACAUUUUACUUAACUGGGAUUGGCUUAGCUUAUUGAGAUAAAUUGAACUUCCUUUUGUGCUCAUUUCAGAUUAAAGAACAAGAGAGGAAAGCUAUUGAGGAUUCUAAUCCAGCGAUCUCAGAGGCAAAGAGAAGGCGAAAGAUGAUAGCUUGUCUACCUAAACUUUUCAACGUUAUCCAUUACUUGAUCCAGUCGUUAAGGCGGUGGGUUAUCACAAAAGAAGAGCUUGUGCACAAGAUAAUCGCCGGUCAUUCUGAUAUCGCCGACAGAAGUAAGCCCCUUCAUUCAGCAUCUCAAUACAUCUUUCCUUACAAGUGUUUUCAAAGAUGUCACUAACCAUUUUUGCUGCGUUAUUUGCAGGAGAAGUUGAAGAGCAGCUUGUGUUAAUGCAAGAGCUAGUCCCGGAAUGGAUCUCUGAGAAAAGAUCAUCAAGUGGAGAUCUACUUGUAUGGUUAGUCUUUAAUAUCUGCAUGCUUAUAAUACUUCUUUAGUAUUUUUAGAUUGGUAAUUAAAACAUGUUAUUAUUAUGUGGCCGGCAGCAUAAACAAAGUGGCAUCUCCUCAAACUAUCCGGUCGAGUCUAGAAGAAGAAAACAAGAAAGCGAUGGCUACGCCACUUUCUUAAAAGUGCGGUGUCAUCGGCUGCUGAACAUGCGUCACUUUAUACGUGAUAAAGGCUGAACAUUCAUGAGAAAGGCGUGUAGAGAUAGAUUGCUAGGUAGAUUAUCAAAAUUUUAGUGUGGAAAUGUAAUUAAUUAGUAAUAAAUCACUUUUAUUUUCUCUAAUUUGCAAUAAAUAACUUCCACCUUUUCUUUUUUCUUUCAGUUACCAAAAAAAUAAGAUGGGGAGAGAUGUAGUCUAAUAAUUUACACUAACAUCUUUGAUGUUUAUUUAUUCAAGUUCAAAUACGUUAAUGCAAAAAAAGUAAUCAGUUUGAAGAUGGGUUCAGAUUCGGAAUUAGGACUCAAGGAACCGAAUAGAAUAUAGGGCAAAUUUUCAAAAUAGCAUUUUUCUAAGUUUAUAUAACAAAAAUAGCACUCAAAAACUAAAAUGACCAAAAUAGCACAUUUCUAAGUUUAUCCUUUGAAAAUUUUAAUAUUUUUAUUUUUUAAAAUUUGAAAUCUUAACAACCAAAUGAUCACCUUCUCUGCCACGCCUUGCUGUCAAAGCAUCCACCUGAAAUUUUUAAAAGACAUUACGAAUCAGAGAGCUCUUGUUUAACUUGAAUAGAUUCAAAAAACAUAUUGGCAAGAUAUAUUAUUAUUAUUAUUACACAAACCUCAUCAAAGAAGAUUACACAUGGUGAGCUUGUCCGGGCGCGCUGAAACAAGGUCCGAAUAGCACGCUCGCUUUCUCCAACGUAUUUAUUUAAAAGUUCUGGACCCUGAAAGCCAACGAUACAACAAGGAUAGGAACCAUCAUUACUAAGGACCAUUUUUAUUAUGCAAAGAAAAAUUCAGAAAAUCUGGCAUACCUUGAUGUGUAUGAAAUUAGCUCCUGCCUCGUUUGCAACUGCCUUUGCAACCAAAGUCUUUCCACAACCCGGUGGUCCAUAGAGCAAGAAACCUGUCUCUAACGUCUUUCCAAAUUUCUAUAUAUAAAAAAAAAAGGGAAACACGUUUAGACCCUAAGGGAACAAGCAAGUAAGUCUUGACUAGUACGUAACAGUGGCAAGGGUUUUUGUUACUACCUCAUACAUGUCUGGAUAUUUGAUAGGCCUGACUAUGUAAUUGUUGAGUUCACUCCGUAGAUGGCCAAGCCCACCAACAUCAUCCCAUGAGACAUCAGGCACGGUAGAGAAACCUUCUCUAGUUAAAGAUCCCUUAACUAACUUGACUGCUUCCUCAAAAUCAGACAUUCUGACAAAGAGCUUAUCCAAAUCUUCGUCUGACCAGGGCAGCCUCAGCCAAGAUCUAUCAUCAUCAUCAUCACUGUCGCCGGAGAGUUGCAUUUUUCUUGAAUCCAUGAUCCUCUUUACGCAAAGACUGGCAGCCAUGUCAGCUAACUCUUCCAAAUCAGCUCCAACAAAACCUGGUGUUAAGCGAGCGAUUCUUUUCAUGUUAAAGGAACCUUCAAGUCUAAGUCUUUGAGCUACGAGAGAGAGAAUCUCAGCCAUGGCAUGUUCAUCAGGAGCGGUUAGAGCAAUCUCACGCCCAAAUCGCCUACCCCUUCUCAGAGCAGGAUCAAGAGCAUCAGGCGUAUUAGUAGCUCCAAUAACAACAACAUAUCCAGCCGCCGUAUCUCCCGGAGGGGGGCCAUCCAUACAAGUCAAUAGUUGUGUUACGAUCCGCUUCUCCAUCUCCCGUUGCUGGUUCUCUCUCUUAGAUCCAAUUGCAUCAGUCUCAUCGAUAAACACAAUAGAAGGCGCAGUCCUGUAUGCUUUAGAGAAGAGCUCUCUAAUAUUCUCUUCAGACUCACCUGAGAGAGAGAGAGCAUGCAUAUUGUGAUCAUCAGUAACAGAGAUACAUUAAACAAUCAAAAAUGGGGGGAAUACAAUUAUCAGACAGGUCCUGGUCAAAGCCUAAUGAAACAUUCGUUUUAGCCUUCCAAACUUUUUGAAAAAAUUUAUACUUAAAUAAAUACCCAGAUUAAAAAAAAAAAAAAAUUUAGGCCCCUAAAUAUUUUAAAUCUUUACUAAAUGGUCUAGGCUCCAAAUUCUCAGGGCCUGCCCUGACAAUUAUUUACCAGAAACACCAGAAAGAACUUGUGUGGCUGAAAUCUGAUAAAAGGGAACACCAGCUUCGUUGGCGACGGCAUUGGCCAACUGAGUCUUUCCACAGCCAGGUGGUCCAUGGAAUAGAAUCCCGCUUGGUGGCUUCGCUCCAAUCUUCCAAAACACAGGAGGAUUGAGAAGAGGGGACAGAAUAUACUGAUCCAACUGAUUCAGCACUUUUUUAAUCCCGGCAAAGUCUUUAAAAGUAGGUCCUUCUGGAGGUGGAGGAGAAGGAGAUUCCCUUUUAAGCAUUCCUUUGUUGUUGGUAACAGUCUCAGCUUCGACAUUCGUCUCCACAAGAAUUGGUUUCUUAAGCUGACAUUGAUCAAAUCAAACCUUGGACUCACCUUAGCGUCCUCAGAAGUCGAGAUAUGACCGUCACUGUCUUCCAACGAAGAAGAAGAAACUGACUUGUCUUCAAGACGUCUCUGUUUCUUCAUCUUACCACCAGUACCUUCAUCGGAAUCGUUGUUGUCAUCUUCCUCUUCGUCUUCUUUCACACGCUUCUUGUUGUUGUUUCGGGCAUUAAGGACAUUUCUGACGUUGAGGACAAGUGCUUGACGGGUCAACCUCGCAUAUUUACCGUACCUGGAACGGAGGUCGUCCACGAUUUCCUCCGCCGUAGAUAAAUCCUUCCCGCACCAAUCCAUAGCUCGACUCAAAUCUCUCUUAUUAUUUCUUCCGUCCACACCUCUCCUCCCCAUCGUGUGCUGGUGGCGUUACAGCUGUGGUAAACUUUUGGAGGAAAGCUUAUUAGCCCAGAAAGCCCUAAUUUGAUUUUUAUUACCGUGUGUGAGACGGUUCAAAAGACAAAACUAUCCUCUUUUUAAUGAAAGAGAAUAAUGAUUUUUUUUUAAAGCAUAUAUGAGAUCUCCGACGGACCGGCUCAUCUCCGCGAGGAGAUCAAAACUCUGACGCAACCAUGGUUUCUCAGCCCAACGCCAACGUAGCCUUGCACUUUCUAGAUAUGUACAAAUAGGCAGUGAACGGUCGUUUGCAGGUGUGUAAAGUACCAAAAAUUCUAAUCUUAGAGUGUUGUGAGUCUUAUACUAUGUCUUGUUUCCUUCUUGGGUUGGGCCAUUCUUUUAAAGGAACAAUCGUCUCUCUCUCGUUCAUUUGGUUUAUCGAUCAAAGUAAGCAAAAUGGUGGAGACAAAGCUGAUAUGACUGUUUAUGUUGUUUCCGCGACGGGGAUAAGAUUCAGCUUCUUAGACCAUGAUUAACUCGGGGUUCUUAAAAUGGGGUUCUUAGCGGAAUUUAAGAAAUUGUUUAUUAACUUUUAACUAAAAAAAGCUAAGAACCGGUUCUUAAAGUGCUUAUUUAAGAACCGGUUCUUAGCUUUUUUAGUUAAUGUUUCUUAACUUCCGCUAAGAACCCCAUUCUAAGAACCCCGGGUUAAUCAUGCUCUUACGGGUCUUUAGCAUAAUCGAAUGAAACAAGAAGUUGACAAACAUAGGAGUGAAAGAAGCAUUGAAAUAGGAGAUAGAUCUUUGUGAAGCUGCAACCGCCUAGGAAACAGUCUGUGGUUACUUGCAAUUCAGAGAAGAUUGCUCCAAAGUUUUACGGUCCUUAUAAAGUGUUGGAUAAGCGUGGGAAAAUAGCGUAUAAAUUCCACGAGUAUUCAAAUAUCCAUCUCAUGUUCCAUGUUUCACAGUUGAAGAAGUUGGUGGGAGAGGCAACACAGAUCCCCUCGUGAUUAGUUCAUUGAGUUUAAAGAUCUUUUCUUCAUUUUGGAUCUUUUUACAAGUGAACUAUGAUUCUGUGUGGAAAAAACAUUGAAUCGAUCAUAGAGGAGUAUUAUCCUCUCUCAAGGGCACAUCUGGCCUCUUGAUAGUUCUACUGGGCUUUUCCUCGGUUGAUAUAGCUCCGAGGGAGCAACGGCAGAAAUUUAGUUGGGAGUCACACGUGGCAACUCUCUCCCCCACUCCUUCCCUCUUCGCGCCAUACCCUCUUCUCCGUCUCCAAAUUAUGGGCCUAAUGGGCUUCACAUAAUUUCGCGGGCGUAAUUUGGCGGGAAGCAACGUGCAUCUUCUAUCUCCCUCCUUUUGAGAGCCAUAUAAUAAAACCCUUCUUCGUCAUCGUCGCGCCUACUCUCUCUCUCUCUCUCUCUCUCUCUCUCUCUGUAAUUUAACACUCAUUGACUUUGUUAGAGAAAGAUGAGCGCACCGGGCUCUUCUAGAUCCAUUCCGUUCAAAUCGAAGAAACGUCUCUUCGAUUCGCCACGCUCGAAAUCCCAAACCGGAAACCCCGAUUCACCUUCUUCUGUACCUUUCCCCACGCCGGAGAAGCCGCCGGAGAGUAUCCUCACAAGACCCAGAAACCGAUCUUAUGAUCUAUCCGAGAAAAAAGUUCCCCAGGCCGCUGGAUCUGAAGAUCCGAUUGGUAAGGUUUCAUCCGCCAGGAGUCAGCUCGUGUUCUCGUCGCCUUCCUCAUCCAAACGAGUAUCCAAUGUUAACAAGAUCGCCGAGGGUGAGAAGCUACCGGAGAAGUAAGUUUUUGAUUUCUAGGGUUCUUAGUUUUUUUUUCACGAUUCUGAUCGAGAUUUGGAUCUUCACAGGUACGAAAAUCUGGGAAAGUUCUUCGAUGCGCUAGACAGUUCGAUCGUGUUAUCGAAAUUACGAGGCUCUAAGCCGACUUUCUCCAACAUUUCCGGGAAAAUCGAGCAUUUGACGGAAAGGUAUUUUCCUGGAAAAUUGAAUCUGAUCAGAAUAAACAAUUCAAUUUGAUAUUUGCCUUUAUACUUUAUAGUUUAGAUAAGACAAACGAAUUAUCUAGAUCUUGAUUUUGAAUCUGUUUUUCUCAGGAGGUUUUGCUACAGUCACUUGGCUCAAAUCAAACAUUUAUUGCCAGAGGCAAUCGAGAUUAAGAGAGUUUUGAUACAUGAUGAAUCAACUCGCUGCAUGAAACCAGACCUUCAUGUUACACUCAACGCCUAUGCAGUUGAGGACCAUGACAAAAGCAAGAAGAUCUCACUACGCAAAGUGUUCAGGACAAGACUUGCAGACUUUUUUAAAGCUCAUCCUCAGGUAUAUGAUGAUAAAAUGCAUACUUGUAAUGAUUUUGUAAGCUACAUUCACGUACUAAUGGAGUUUUUUUUAUGUGGUUUAGGGUGAUGAAGUUCCCGAGGAAUCGCUUCCAGAGCUUUUCAGUAGAAGGAAACUAAAUGAGAACUCAAAGGAUGAGGUUAAGAGUUUUAGUUCAGUCAUGGAAGAGAUGGCUUCUAUUCCAGCAGCUAAAUUGAUCUCAGCUUUCAUGGAAGUUCCAUCAACCUCAGUCAAAGCAGCUCCAAGUCCUGCUAACAUUGCACCAACUGCAAGUCCUGCUAGACCAGCUUUGUCUAAGAUUAACUUGGCUCCAACCCCAGUGAAAGCUGUGUCAACUCCUGCUAGUGUACCUUCAACGCCUGCUAAAAUUGACCCAGCACCAGCUUUUGUCGCUUCAACCCCACCUGAGUUUGCUUCAACUCCUGCCCGUCUGUUCAGUACAUCCCUUGAAGCUCGUCUGCAGAAAAGAAGUAGCGAUGAUACAAAUCUAGAU
RNAcentral lists this long non-coding RNA (6682 nucleotides) under Brassica napus (rape). Its description in RNAcentral is "long non-coding RNA (BNAP_LNC012948)". Lineage: Eukaryota; Viridiplantae; Streptophyta; Magnoliopsida; Brassicales; Brassicaceae. The record is from RNAcentral.